CCCCUAAAAAGAGUACAAUAAAUAGGAGGGAGUAAGGUGCAAAAAAAAGAUUAACCAAAAAAUGUAGGGGCCCACGUCUAAUGGAAAUGAAGAAAAGGAAUUGACUGUUAAAGUGGAUAGUCAGGCAAAGAAAUGGCAGUGGCAGGCUAGCAGCCACGUGUGUAUCCUCAACCAAUAAAAAAUCUUGUAUUGCAAUGUGAGGACGACAAAAUUUGGUGAUGUUCCUUAUAUCUUUUUCUACUAUUUUAUUAUAGAAGCACGGGUUGAAGCAGGAUCAUCGUCAUUCCGAGGGCAUUUCGGUCAUUUCACGCAUGCCUUUCAAUCUGAACUCUGAGCCGCCACGUAAUUCAUAUUCUCGACCCUUCUUCCUGGACAAGGCCAAGGUAGUCUGCUAAAGUACUUUUUACACAUUCUCUCUUUUCAUUGUUUCCAAUACCCAAUUGACCAUCUUCUCUAGAGGCCCCAAACAAUAAACACAUGUAUGUAUAUAAUAAACAUAGUCAUUGCUUUGAUGAAUUGAAGGGGCUAAAAAAAGGUUUGAGCUGUGUUUGAAUAGCGUACCAAGGUGGUUCUGGAAGCCAUACUUUUGUGGGUGCUCUCAGUUUACUGUGUAUUUUUCACUGCUAAGUAAGGAAUACUUGGAGCUUUCACCUUUUUUUUUACAGUUUGGUGGAAAUCUGAUUUCAAGAAUCGCAGUAGACUCAAUUCCCAUUUCGCUAUAGUGCUUUUUCGGGUGUUUUAUGUCACAGUUUUUACAAGGAACAGAUUACUCUUGCUUAUGGCAUCCGCAGCAAGCUCCAAUUUGCGGGUGAAGAAAUACUCAUCUACGUUUGGGCAAGUUCAUAGUUGUAGGUUGUCAGACAGUAUUGGUGACUGCAUCACUUACUUUUAUGACUUCCGAGCCAAGUGAACUCUCAGACUAAUUUGUUAGAAGCGUAAGCAGUCUUUGCAUUUUCAUACCGCUGAUCAGAAUUUUUUGAUAUGGUUAUCCGCAAGGGCUAAUAUUGAGAUGUAGUUUGGAAUCAGCUUUGUCCUCUUAAAUUUUCUGAAUUUAUGUAGUUAAUGGAUAUGUGAAAAAGCCUAUAAGUAUGUUAAUGCCGCCAAAACGGAGGUAUGAGAUGCAUUUUACUUUGAAUUAUGUGAAGAUAAUAUAGUGAGAAGAUUGUGGUUGAAUAAAUUACCCAUAUUUGAUUUAGCGAAGUAAUACCUAUCCUCCAUUACAAACAAAGGGAACAGAUAGAAGUGGUGAAUACACAACUAAAUAUUAGUAGUAACCAAUUUAAGCCGAUGUGUGUUCUUACUCGCCAACUCUAACCCUUUUCUUUUCCUCUGCUGAAUUAGUGGCCAUGUUAGGCAACACCUUUCAUAAUAGCUUUAUACCACUCUUUUGAAAAACAAAGUAGUAGUAAACCGUAAAUGUCACUAAUCUAAUAGUGGUAUUUCUACUGCUUCAUUUCCAGAGUGCUUAAGAGAUUUUAGCCAAACAAAACUAGGGAAAGAAAGAGAAGAAGAGAAUCAAUGGCGCUUCUACUGCUUCCCUACUAGAGUGCAUAAGAGCUUUAGUCAAACAUAACUAGGGAAACAAUGAGAAGAAGAGAAUGUUGUUCUGUGUUAGUAUCUAUUUUUGGCCUCUAAAAUUUUAGAAGAUCUAAAAGAGAAGUUUCUUAUUUAGCAUUUUGGAAAUAACAGGGUAAAAGCAAAUAGUGAAAGAAUCUGAGUACUAUGAUGUUCGUGGUGUUCCUUCUGUAGCAUCUCCAGAAGAGAUAUGCAGAGCCUAUUAUCUCAAGGUGAGAGGUGACAUUCUGCAAGUACUUCCAUUACGUGAUUAGAUGUUUGUAGUUGUGACAUAGUUUUCAUACCUGAGAAGAGUUUUCCUACUUUGGCAGCGACUAGAUCUCGUCCCACUUUUGCAUUCAUGGCCAAAACCAACCAUUGGGACUCCGGCUUACAUUGCUCCAGAGGUCUUGUCCGAAAGAGAAUAUGAUGACAAGGUAUCUGUGUAAUUACUUAUGUGAUUUUGUACAUUUGGAGCAGAGGCAAUGAAAUAUUGAAGAAGAUUAAGCUCCCUUAAAUUAAAAAGAUGGCACAUUAAAAAGAUGGCAUUUAGAGUAAAGCCUAUAAAUAUGGGUCAGACCAGAGAUGUAUUUAUUUUGUUUAAAUGUUCAUAAUUAAAUAAAAAGGAUGAAUUCUUGUAAGUUGCUCAACGUGUUAUGAUAGUAGUAGUCUAUUGAAACAAGCUGUCGGAGAAAGUAUCUAGCCUGAGAUUAGCUUGGCUAGGUAUCUUUAAUAGAUGUCAUCUUCAACAUGUUAACUUUUUUCUAUUACAAUGUCUUCUGAAACGAAAUCUGCAUUAGUACUAUUUAAAGCUUAUAGGAGUUUAUAUUAAGAUAUAUGUGAGAUUAUAAAUGAAUCUUUAUGAUAUUGGUUAUGGCCUAAAGUCCUAAAAAAGAUUCCGCUGACCGAGGAAUGAUAAAGACCAAAUGAACAUGUCAAGGGAGCGAUGGGCCAUUUAUGUAUGUUGUGUUAGUAUAGGCGAUGCUCUUUUGGCUUUGCUGUGAGCAUAAAAAUUCAAACCAAACGUCAACAAAGCAGAAGACUUUGGUUUUAAGAUGCAUUUUAGAGGUUCCUUAUGAGCAAAAAGAGGGAGGAAGAAUGAAUGAAACUUGAAAAUAUACCCAAAGAAUAGAUUCAAAAAGAGGAACGAAGAAAGAAACACGUAAAAACAUACCAAAAAUUGGGAGUACAGAUACCUUAAAUUGGAAGCACAGGUGGUUAUGGGAAAGUUGAAAAAAAUCACCAAAAAAAAAAAUAAGAGAGAGAACUCAGGAGUUCUGAGACCCAAUUUUGCUCUUGGGAGUUCUUAGUGUUAGUGAUCUCCUCGCAAUCUAUUUAAAAAGAGACUGAGCUCAUUUGAGAAAGGUAAAAUGAGACGUCGAAAUUAAAGGAAUGAUAAACUAGGUAUAAGGUUGUGUAUUGAGUUACAAAUAGGUGGUCUGACAAAUUAAGACACAGUUGCUACAAUUAAAGGUUGUUCUAGCUUUGGGUGCUUCAUUUUGGCAAUUGAUCAAAAUGAGAACCUAGGACCAACACUUGACGUAUAAUUUAUGGUAGUUAGUAACUGUAAUUCUUUAUAGAUUCACAAUAUACACACAUAUACCAUCGCACAAAACUGAUAAGAUUUUGUUUAAUUGUUGUGCUUUUUAGUGCUAACUUUGCUAUUCAUAGCAAGUUAGAACUUUUUGUGUUUGUUGUAGCAUCCUUGAGUUCCUUUCAACAGCUUUUGUAAAUGUAGAUAUUAGAAUUUUUUUUAUACAACACAAGAGUAUACUGAUUCUGCUAGAAGUUGAGAUCAUUUAAUCAAUUGUACGAGUUCAUUCUUCAUUUAUCACUGUCAAUAACAUUUCCAUUUUCCGUUUUACUGAUAAUUUCAAAUGUUGUUUAGUAUCUACAGAUCAUUGCUAAUAGACUUUUAAUAUUCCCUAGCUUUUCUGAUUCCUUGAGAUAGCUGCUUGCGUGGUAUAGAUAUUUUGGAAACUGAAGAGUGGAGAUGUGUGAUUUUUCAGCCUCUAUACAAGUGAGAGUUGUCUUUAGGUGGAAUUCUUCCACCAACUACCAAUGGCACUAAUAAGCUCAUAUGUAGGGGUUGGACAAGAUUACCAGUCUAUGAAGCUUAUUUUUGUUGGGGAACACCCUUUUAUGUUAGCUCUGUUGGCAGGCAAAUAUGGUCAUUCAAUUGAAGCAUGGGACUAUUUGAAUGAGAACACAAGUUCAUGUGGUGGUGCCCUGAUUGCUUUCAGAAUACUUGAUGCUACUCACGUGAUUUCAUUUUGUUUCUCACCUCUCAUUUAUUCUACCACCUUUGAUCUAAUUGGAAAGUAGGAGAAAGAGAGGGAUAGAAGCAAGAACAAUGGCGGAA
This is an RNA transcript of Lycium ferocissimum, 3916 nucleotides long. RefSeq lists it as uncharacterized. The record is from RefSeq and is a predicted model, not a curated record. The transcript is spliced from 7 exons. NCBI's taxonomy places the organism in Eukaryota, Viridiplantae, Streptophyta, Magnoliopsida, Solanales, Solanaceae.